GUGUGGAGCGAAUCCAGAAAAUAAUGUCCCAGUUCAGAUUGCAGGCUGCAACUCGCCUGCAUGAAGUCGGAAUUGCUAGUAAUCGCAGAUCAGCAUGCUGUGGUGAAUACGUUCCCGGGCCUUGUACACACCGCCCGUCACACCAUGGGAGUUGGGAAUGCCCGAAGUCAGUGGCCGAACCGUAAGGGGGGAGCUGCCGAAGGCAGGCCCGAUGACUGGGGUGAAGUCGUAACAAGGUAGC
This 241-nucleotide ribosomal RNA is filed under the name uncultured bacterium. RNAcentral describes it as "partial 16S ribosomal RNA". It matches the Rfam family "Bacterial small subunit ribosomal RNA", at positions 1260 to 1500 of the family's 1533-position model. The record is from RNAcentral.